AUCUGAUGGUUUGUUUGUGUUUGAGCGUGACCUAAGUAUCUCGUUCCUCAGUUACCCCACCAACGAUGACAGCUGUCCGGAGGGAGAUGUUCAUUUCGCACAAGUACAGCCAAAACAUUGGUAUGAUCCAGAUAAUUGGUGUAUCCCUUUGCACGACUUUGAUGCACAGUGUUUGGAUGUUGAUCUUUUGGACAGCGAAAAAGUACCUUGCCGUAACGAUGACGUCAUUUUCCCCAGUGACAAAACCUUCUACGUCAGCUUAGAUACUGACGUAGAGAUAAGCAUACGGAGUCUCAGGAUCGGAUAUACGGUUUAUGACACUGAGCAAUUUAAACAGUUCCUAACGAGUGACUUAGGGAAGAAACAGUUUGUGCUUGCAUCAUCUGCCAACGACGUGACAAUUCAC
This is a long non-coding RNA of Lingula anatina, 406 nucleotides long. The record is from RefSeq and is a predicted model, not a curated record. Lineage: Eukaryota; Metazoa; Brachiopoda; Lingulata; Lingulida; Lingulidae.